RNAcentral lists this ribosomal RNA (79 nucleotides) under Paenibacillus sp. MYb63. RNAcentral describes it as "partial 23S ribosomal RNA". It matches the Rfam family "Bacterial large subunit ribosomal RNA", at positions 2848 to 2925 of the family's 2925-position model. The record is from RNAcentral. Lineage: Bacteria; Bacillati; Bacillota; Bacilli; Caryophanales; Paenibacillaceae.
CGAGGUAGAUAGGCUGGGGGUGGAAGUGCAGCAAUGCAUGGAGCUGACCAGUACUAAUCGGUCGAGGGCUUAUCCAAUA